This 485-nucleotide ribosomal RNA is filed under the name uncultured Clavibacter sp. RNAcentral's name for it is "partial 16S ribosomal RNA". The record is from RNAcentral. Lineage: Bacteria; Bacillati; Actinomycetota; Actinomycetes; Micrococcales; Microbacteriaceae.
CACGUAGUUAGCCGGUGCUUUUUCUGCAGGUACCGUCACUUUCGCUUCUUCCCUACUAAAAGAGGUUUACAACCCGAAGGCCGUCAUCCCUCACGCGGCGUUGCUGCAUCAGGCUUUCGCCCAUUGUGCAAUAUUCCCCACUGCUGCCCCCCGUAGGAGUCUGGGCCGUGUCUCAGUCCCAGUGUGGCCGGUCACCCUCUCAGGCCGGCUACCCGUCGUAGGCUUGGUGAGCCAUUACCUCACCAACAACCUGAUAGGCCGCGAGUCCAUCCCCAACCGAAAUUCUUUCCACGACCAGACCAUGCGGCCAGUCGUCAUAUCCGGUAUUAGCUACCAUUUCUAGCAGUUAUCCCAGAGUCGGGGGCAGGUUACUCACGUGUUACUCACCCGUUCGCCACUGAUCCGCCAGAGCAAGCUCUGACAUCACCGUUCGACUUGCAUGUGUUAAGCACGCCGCCAGCGUCGUCCUGCGCAGAUCAAACUCU